Molecule: unclassified non-coding RNA, 415 nt
Filed under: Hevea brasiliensis (rubber tree)
Lineage: Eukaryota; Viridiplantae; Streptophyta; Magnoliopsida; Malpighiales; Euphorbiaceae
Source: RNAcentral
UUUGAUUGGUGAAGUUGUUGGGGCCCGUUUAAUUUCUCAUGCGGGCAGUCUCACAAAUUUGGCCAAGUGCCCUUCUUCCACCCUUCAGAUUCUUGGUGCGGAGAAAGCACUCUUCAGGGCUUUGAAAACAAGAGGAAACACUCCUAAAUAUGGUCUGAUUUUUCAUUCUUCUUUCAUUGGGCGAGCAUCUGCACGGAACAAAGGCCGAAUGGCUCGUUAUCUUGCAAAUAAAUGUUCUAUUGCAUCACGUAUUGAUUGCUUUGCAGAGAGCAGCACCACAACCUUUGGAGAAAAACUUCGUGAGCAAGUUGAAGAGCGCCUUGACUUUUAUGACAAGGGAAUAGCACCUCGUAAAAACAUAGAUGUUAUGAAAGCUGCAAUUGAAAGUGCUGAUAACAAAGCAACUGAUAUGGAA